Molecule: ribosomal RNA, 573 nt
Filed under: Triticum aestivum (bread wheat)
Lineage: Eukaryota; Viridiplantae; Streptophyta; Magnoliopsida; Poales; Poaceae
Description: partial small subunit ribosomal RNA
Source: RNAcentral
AUGGACCUACCAUCGUCUCACCAAGCACCAAGAGGACCCAUGACAAGAGCACGAGCGAGAGCUCUCGAGACCGAUGUGACUUCUCUCCUUAGUGAUAUCUCAUAUGAUCCUCAUGAGACAUGGCUACUACCUAAGUCCGGAAUGUUGUGCAUGAUUAGGUACCAAGAGGACCCUCCCGAGGAUGCACAUGAAGAUGCUCAGCAACCAAGUCCACGGAAGAAGAGAACCAAUGGAAAAAGGAAAGGACAACUUCCAGGCACCGGACAUCCGGCCAUGGUCCCGGACAUCCGGCCCCUGGAGAUCUACCCCUCAGCCACGGGUCCGCAACAGAAGCUACAGGGCCCGGACAUCCGGCCCUCCACCCCGAAAAUCCGGCAGCCAGCCCGGACAUCCGGACACGCCGUCCAGGGAGUACAGAAGGCUUCCCCAACAGCCCGGACAUCCAGCCGUCACCCCGGACAUCCGACGCCUCCCGAAGCCCCAGACAUCCGGCCCCUCCGCAAGGACAUCCGGCCCCGUCCAUCCAGAGAGCAGCAAGGCCAACUCCACCAACCCGUACAUCUGGCCCGAUAG